This 253-nucleotide ribosomal RNA is filed under the name uncultured bacterium. Its description in RNAcentral is "partial 16S ribosomal RNA". It matches the Rfam family "Bacterial small subunit ribosomal RNA", at positions 524 to 776 of the family's 1533-position model. The record is from RNAcentral.
UACGUAGGGGGCGAGCGUUGUCCGGAGUUACUGGGCGUAAAGCGCACGCAGGCGGUCUGUUAAGUUUGGAGUGACAGUUGGUGGCUUAACUGCCAAAGUGCUUCGAAAACUGACAGACUUGAGGGCUUCAGAGGGACACGGAAUUCCGGGUGGAGUGGUGAAAUGCGCAGAUAUCAGGAGGAACACCGGUGGCGAAGGCGGAUCUCUGGGCCGAUACUGUCGCUGAGGAGCGAAAGCGUGGGGAGCGAACAGG